CUGCAUUUGUGGUUAACAUAGAUUUUAAUGAAUGGGCAUGAAGAUAUUUUUUAAAGAAAACAAAAUGUCUCUCUUCACUGCUGUCAGUAUCUUGUAAACCAAUGUAUUCGAGAAGUAGAGCCUGUGGUUCUCAAAUUGUGGAAUGUUUGUGGUCCUUGGGGGUUGUCUUGAGGAACAGUGCUGCCGAUAAUCUAAAAUUCAUUAAUUUUGAUAAUAAGAAAGGCUUACUGUUAUUUCCCAUUUGCAUUCACUUUCUGUAUUUUAUUUUUCCUUCAACACAAGCUAAAAUGAACUUUGCAGCAGUUGUUCUGGUUUUUCCUCUUUUAAUUGACACAUUUCUUAAGCUUUAACGUACUUAUUGUAAGUGCCAUAUUUGAUUUCAUAGUCUAUUAAAGUGUAUGUCUUUUUUUAGACAUUAUGCUGUCAGCUGAACGCAAAAGUUACUGCAGGCAUCGCAAAUCGUCUGUGCGCAAGAGAAGUGUUAAAACUGUUUGAUCGCAACCAAAUUGUGUUGUAUAUUUGCCUGGCAUUGAAAUUGUGAACUUUUUUUAUUUUUAUGUCUGUAUAAUAAUGAUCUUUAAUUUUUGUUUUAAAUUAGUAGUAUAAAUCCUUGUGUAAGAUGAUGUUUUAAAAGAAAGGAAGGAAUCGUACAGGUGGGCUUCCUUUAGAGACGGAAAUUGUAUUGCCAGAAUUAAUUUAGAACUGACUUUAUUAGUCGAAGCUUAAUUAAUAAAUGCAAACAGGUUUUCUAAAAUGCCGGAUAGUUAAGAUAUAUUCAUACCUCAGAUACAGACAACAUAAAUUCCAGCAAAAGAAAGUUGUAAAAUGAUUUUCAUGAACUUAAAAAAUAAGUUUAAAAAAAAAAAAAAAGCUGAGUUUGUUCUGUUGUAGCCAUGCCAAUAUGAAGAUUAAACAAGACCACCAUGGACAAAGUGCCAAAUAAUGUAAGCGCCUAGUGGUCAUUUUGAUUCAAAAAGUAUGUUUUCGUAGAGAUUUUUAAAACCCCACAGCAUGGCUAAGCUGAACACUGCCACAUUGCAUGGUUUUCCCUUUUACAGUAACUUUAUUUUUAACUCUGGAUCUAAACACAAAAAAUAGGUUCCUUAUCUAUGUUUAAGGGCUUCCAAGUUGGUUCAACAAUGUAUUUAAAACACAUUUUAUCCCUUGUCACCUGAUAAGCUUGUAAUUUUACAAAAAAUGAAACUCUGACUAAAGGAACACUUGAAAAAGCAAGUCUUUACCUCUCUUCGUGGCCGUCCUGCCUCUUUGGUGGAGAUCAAGUGCUGAUGAUCUCAACCAAUCCAGUGCUUUCCUGUAGGGAAGUAUUGGGAGACUAAUUGGCAUGUGCAGCAAAUUUCUGCUCCGCGACAAAUCAGCAUCUCCUCGUAGAAAUUUGUUGAGUCAGUACGUAGGGAUGCUGAACAUUCGUCCUGUAAUCUAUGCAGGACUGAAUCAAGGAAGUCCCUCUAGUGGCGAUCAAGACUCAGUUGACACCAUUCUUAAAUGAUGAGAUGCUUUUGAAAUUAUUCCAGAGAAUAAAGAUUACUAGUUUUGUUAAUGUAUUAUAUAAAGAAUAAUCCCUUGUCAAUCAUACUUGGUCAUUUUAUGGCCGUUGUCUAACUUUUACAGAGGACCUCUGCUAUGACCCUAGAAGCAUCACACUGCUUUGAUUAAAUUUAAACAGGAGCUUGUAAAGUGCCCUCCCUUACAGCCAUUGCACAUAUUUGAUUUAAAUGUACCAAACUAUUUUUGAGAUAACAAAUAUACGUGCAUGCUGCAGAACUCAAGUAUGUAGAUUUGCUAAAAUGUUGUUUCAUCAAACUUUUUUUAUCCAUGUUAUUAGUUAUAAACAAUUUCCAGUACAGCCCUUUUGAUAAAUCAGAUUAAAUGUUUUUAUGAAUUUAUACUUUUGCUUUAAAUUGCUGAUGGU
RNAcentral lists this long non-coding RNA (1930 nucleotides) under Pelobates cultripes (western spadefoot toad). Lineage: Eukaryota; Metazoa; Chordata; Amphibia; Anura; Pelobatidae. The record is from RNAcentral.